Carya illinoinensis is the source of this 952-nucleotide long non-coding RNA. RefSeq lists it as uncharacterized. The record is from RefSeq and is a predicted model, not a curated record. The transcript has 2 exons. Lineage: Eukaryota; Viridiplantae; Streptophyta; Magnoliopsida; Fagales; Juglandaceae.
AUUAAAUUAAAAACAAUUUUAAAACGCAAAUAAAUUAAAAUAAAUAACUAAAAUAUUAAUUAAAAUAAAAACAAUUAUUUCAGCGAAAAUACACUCAAAAGCGAGUCAUCACACCAACGGCAGACGAAAUUCAACUCGAAGUUUAUAAAGCUGGAGAAAUACAAGGUGAAAGUGAGAAGAUUGCCUUCCCCAAAAUCGAGUCAUCCAAAGAUGGUGUCAAUGCUGAAAGCUCAGAAUUGGGUGCUUCAACCGAAGCUGAAAAUAUACGUAGUUCAGAAGUUUGGGAGUCUAAAGUUUAUGCGACAAAAGAUGGAUUUUUGAGAGCCAACUUGGUGGGAAUUGCUCUGCAGGUUUUGAUGCUUAUUGCAACUAUAGCUUUGAUCUAUAUGAUGAAACAUGGAAACACAACCCCAAUUACUACUGUCAACGUGGAGCAACCACUACUGACAAAGAAAUUGGAUUUCAGCCCAAUAUUUAGCAUAGACUAGAUAUUCCUCGAGAGGCCAUCUUCUCGGAAUUGGGCGACCGAGAUGGACGUGGAUGGAGAGUCAUGUCCUUCGGAAAUGAGCAGCUUUCAGACAAUCUCAUCUUACAGUAAGAAAGGAUUCGAGGCGUCAGAGCCAGGAGAGGAGGAAGCGAGGGAAGAACCAUAAGAGAGACUCAAUUGCGACUUCCUCAGGCUACUCUGUGGGCCGGCUUUCUUACGGCAAUUUUAUCACCUACGAGAAGAUUCUGAGCAAUCAUGGACAUGAAGACGAGGAGACAAUUACUCCUGUUAUGCGCUCCGGUAGAAUCAAAAACAAAGUCACCUCCUCAUGAUCAUGACCAAUUCUAUCCUACUUUUCUAUUUCUUCCGGUAGGAAUGGGGCACUAACUAGUUGCUUUUUCUUAAUUGUAAGACUUGUAAGUGGUACCUCCACUCUUCGUCAAUCAGUAAUUUUCUGUUGCUAAA